Molecule: ribosomal RNA, 818 nt
Filed under: Bacillus subtilis
Lineage: Bacteria; Bacillati; Bacillota; Bacilli; Caryophanales; Bacillaceae
Description: bacterial SSU rRNA
Rfam family: Bacterial small subunit ribosomal RNA
Source: RNAcentral
UGCAGUCGAGCGGACAGAUGGGAGCUUGCUCCCUGAUGUUAGCGGCGGACGGGUGAGUAACACGUGGGUAACCUGCCUGUAAGACUGGGAUAACUCCGGGAAACCGGGGCUAAUACCGGAUGGUUGUUUGAACCGCAUGGUUCAAACAUAAAAGGUGGCUUCGGCUACCACUUACAGAUGGACCCGCGGCGCAUUAGCUAGUUGGUGAGGUAACGGCUCACCAAGGCAACGAUGCGUAGCCGACCUGAGAGGGUGAUCGGCCACACUGGGACUGAGACACGGCCCAGACUCCUACGGGAGGCAGCAGUAGGGAAUCUUCCGCAAUGGACGAAAGUCUGACGGAGCAACGCCGCGUGAGUGAUGAAGGUUUUCGGAUCGUAAAGCUCUGUUGUUAGGGAAGAACAAGUACCGUUCGAAUAGGGCGGUACCUUGACGGUACCUAACCAGAAAGCCACGGCUAACUACGUGCCAGCAGCCGCGGUAAUACGUAGGUGGCAAGCGUUGUCCGGAAUUAUUGGGCGUAAAGGGCUCGCAGGCGGUUUCUUAAGUCUGAUGUGAAAGCCCCCGGCUCAACCGGGGAGGGUCAUUGGAAACUGGGGAACUUGAGUGCAGAAGAGGAGAGUGGAAUUCCACGUGUAGCGGUGAAAUGCGUAUAGAUGUGGAGGAACACCAGUGGCGAAGGCGACUCUCUGGUCUGUAACUGACGCUGAGGAGCGAAAGCGUGGGGAGCGAACAGGAUUAGAUAUCCUGGUAGUCCACGCCCUANACCAUGAGUGCUAAGUGUUACGGGGUUUCCGCUCCCCAUUGCUUCUGCUCAU